Molecule: transfer RNA, 72 nt
Filed under: Camelus bactrianus (Bactrian camel)
Lineage: Eukaryota; Metazoa; Chordata; Mammalia; Artiodactyla; Camelidae
Also listed under: 3 other names
Rfam family: tRNA
About the family: Transfer RNA (tRNA) molecules are approximately 80 nucleotides in length. Their secondary structure includes four short double-helical elements and three loops (D, anti-codon, and T loops).
Source: Rfam by way of RNAcentral
GAGGUUAUAGCUCACUGGUAGAGCACCUGCUUACCAUGCACAAAUUCCCAGGUUCAAUCCCCAGUACCUCCA